GAUGAACGCUGGCGGCGUGCUUAACACAUGCAAGUCGAGCGAAAAGGCCCUGCUUUCGGUGUUCUCGCGUUGCGAACGGGUGAGUAACACGUGGGUGGUCUGCCCUGCUCUUCGGGAUGAGCCUGUGAGACUGAGUCGAAUACCGAACAGGAGCCAUUUUUAGUGUGAUGGUUGGAUAGUUUUUUCGGUGUAGGCUGAGCCCGCUGCCUAUCAGCUUGUUGGUGGGGUAAUGGCGUACCAAGGCGGCUUCGGGUAGCCGGCCGGAGUGGGUGGACGGCCACAUUGGGACUGAGAUACGGCCCAGACGCGUACGGGAGGCAGCAGUGGGGAAUAUUGCACAAUGGGCGCGAGCCUGAUGCAGCGACGCCGCGUGGGGGAUGACGGCCUUCGGGUUGUAAACUCCUUUCGCUAGGGACGAAGCUUUUUGUGACGGUACCUAGAUAAGAAGCACCGGCUAACUACGUG
Molecule: ribosomal RNA, 465 nt
Filed under: uncultured bacterium
Lineage: Bacteria
Description: partial 16S ribosomal RNA
Rfam family: Bacterial small subunit ribosomal RNA
Source: RNAcentral